Non-coding RNA from Paramuricea clavata, 204 nucleotides. The record is from the annotation of a GenBank genome assembly. NCBI's taxonomy places the organism in Eukaryota, Metazoa, Cnidaria, Anthozoa, Malacalcyonacea, Plexauridae.
CAAAGGACAAGCUGUUAGCCAAAUGCUCUGUUCUACAUUAACCGUUACAAUUGUGGAAUAAAAUUGUCCGAGGGGCCAAAGGAAUCAUUUAGUAAAGCGUGCAUUCCUUUUCAAGACAAUACGCUGAUUCCAACUUGUCAUCUCGGACAGUAUAUCAGUAAGGAUAAGCAAGUUUAUAACCAAGUCCAUAAGUCAUAACAACAG